UGGGGAAUAUUGCACAAUGGGGGAAACCCUGAUGCAGCGACGCCGCGUGAGCGAAGAAGGUUUUCGAAUCGUAAAGCUCUGUCCUAUGAGAAGAUAAUGACGGUAUCAUAGGAGGAAGCCCCGGCUAAAUACGUGCCAGCAGCCGCGGUAAUACGUAUGGGGCGAGCGUUGUCCGGAAUUAUUGGGCGUAAAGGGUACGUAGGCGGUCUAUUAAGUCAGGUGUGAAAGCGUGAGGCUUAACCUCAUUAAGCACUUGAUACUGAUAGACUUGAGUGAAGGAGAGGAAAGUGGAAUUCCUAGUGUAGCGGUGAAAUGCGUAGAUAUUAGGAGGAAUACCGGUGGCGAAGGCGACUUUCUGGACUUUUACUGACGCUCAGGUACGAAAGCGUGGGGAGCAAACAGG
RNAcentral lists this ribosomal RNA (403 nucleotides) under Verrucomicrobiota bacterium. RNAcentral describes it as "Verrucomicrobia bacterium partial 16S ribosomal RNA". It matches the Rfam family "Bacterial small subunit ribosomal RNA", at positions 355 to 776 of the family's 1533-position model. The record is from RNAcentral. Lineage: Bacteria; Pseudomonadati; Verrucomicrobiota.